ACCUAUAGCCAUACCACCCGGAAUGUAUCCCAUCUCAUCUGAUCUCAGAAGCUAAGCAGGGUCAGGUCUGGUGUAGUACUUAGUACUUGGAUGGCAGAAAUAUCCUGAAUGGAAUGGAAU
This 120-nucleotide ribosomal RNA is filed under the name Chinchilla lanigera (long-tailed chinchilla). The record is from RNAcentral. Lineage: Eukaryota; Metazoa; Chordata; Mammalia; Rodentia; Chinchillidae.